AAGGGAGACCUAAUCCGGGUAUAAGACGAAAAAAGAGUAGUCGAAACCAAGAAUCAAUCCCAAAAGGUCGGAACGAGGUAUGUGGCUUUCAAACUAGGUUCUGGGUUCACACAAGACCUGAAUCAGGAACAAGGGCUAUUAGCUCAGGUGGUUAGAGCGCACCCCUGAUAAGGGUGAGGUCCCUGGUUCGAGUCCAGGAUGGCCCACCUGCACAGGUGGCAAAAACAAAGAAGCGAGGAAUCAGCACCUUAUCUUAUCUAUAUAUAAGAGAGAAUGCUGGCUCUGAGUAAAGAGUCCAGAGGAACCUUGAAAACUGCAUAGAGCUAGGUGAAAAAGCCAAAAAAGAAGACCGCAA
RNAcentral lists this transfer RNA (355 nucleotides) under uncultured Microcystis sp. RNAcentral describes it as "partial 16S-23S ribosomal RNA intergenic spacer". The stretch from base 133 to 206 matches the Rfam family "tRNA". Lineage: Bacteria; Bacillati; Cyanobacteriota; Cyanophyceae; Chroococcales; Microcystaceae. The record is from RNAcentral.